AACGCCAGAACUACAAUAAUGAUGAAAUUCCUCUUUGACGGGCCAAUAUAAUUAUUGGCCAUUUUUUU
This 68-nucleotide small RNA is filed under the name Enterobacter kobei. RNAcentral describes it as "sroB RNA". It matches the Rfam family "sroB RNA", at positions 16 to 83 of the family's 83-position model. Lineage: Bacteria; Pseudomonadati; Pseudomonadota; Gammaproteobacteria; Enterobacterales; Enterobacteriaceae. The record is from RNAcentral.